CAAAUAUAUACUAGUCCAAUGAUAAUGAACGCCAUACUAAUUUCCAAAUUGUACACAAAAAACUAAAAUUAAAAUAAUACAAGACUAACAAAGGCCAGAGGCUCCUGACUUGGGACAGGCGCAAAAAUGCGGCGGGGUUAAACAUGUUUGUGAGAUCUCAACCCUCCCCCUAUACCUCUAACCAAUGUAGAAAAGUAAACGCAUAACAAUACGCAC
Molecule: long non-coding RNA, 216 nt
Filed under: Mytilus galloprovincialis (Mediterranean mussel)
Lineage: Eukaryota; Metazoa; Mollusca; Bivalvia; Mytilida; Mytilidae
Source: RNAcentral